GCUCGGGGGUUUCUAGCAGGACUCUGUCGGUUGGUUAGCGGGCCAUUGUUAACCCUCUUCCUGGGCUUUCCUGGCCCCAGAACUAGCCCGGAGCCUUGCGGAUGGCAGUGAGAGCUGCGGAAGGAAACCUCUUUACUCAGCCGCUCUGGGCAGCCUACCGGGCUCCGAAACUCCCGAGGCAAAGCCGGAAGAACCUCUCCUUCCCUCCGUCCCACGGAAGGAGCUCCGACUAGGGGAAAGUCCUGAAGGGAGAAAUCUCCAAGGCAACGAGGAAUUUCAAACGGCCGAGGCUAUCCAGAUCAGCAUCGGCAUCUUUCAGUUGUUCUUGGGGAUCCUGUGGUUCUACCUCUACCUGACCCAGUUUGCAGACUCUUUUCUCACUUACAAGACCUUAAUUUGGAAUGCGAAAUACCCAUUAUUAUCAGCGUUUAUCUACACCUUUGCAGGACUCCUUACCAUCAUCACAGAGAAGAAACGCCAGCGUUUUCUGGCAAAGAUCACAGUGGGGAUAAACAUCAUGGGCAUCAUCUAUUCCGUCUAG
This 541-nucleotide long non-coding RNA is filed under the name Monodelphis domestica (gray short-tailed opossum). RNAcentral's name for it is "lncRNA (ENSMODG00000044574.1)". The record is from RNAcentral. Lineage: Eukaryota; Metazoa; Chordata; Mammalia; Didelphimorphia; Didelphidae.